AAAUUGAAGAGUUUGAUCAUGGCUCAGAUUGAACGCUGGCGGCAGGCCUAACACAUGCAAGUCGAACGGUAACAGGAAGCAGCUUGCUGCUUCGCUGACGAGUGGCGGACGGGUGAGUAAUGUCUGGGAAACUGCCUGAUGGAGGGGGAUAACUACUGGAAACGGUGGCUAAUACCGCAUAACGUCGCAAGACCAAAGAGGGGGACCUUCGGGCCUCUUGCCAUCAGAUGUGCCCAGAUGGGAUUAGCUUGUUGGUGAGGUAACGGCUCACCAAGGCGACGAUCCCUAGCUGGUCUGAGAGGAUGACCAGCCACACUGGAACUGAGACACGGUCCAGACUCCUACGGGAGGCAGCAGUGGGGAAUAUUGCACAAUGGGCGCAAGCCUGAUGCAGCCAUGCCGCGUGUAUGAAGAAGGCCUUCGGGUUGUAAAGUACUUUCAGCGGGGAGGAAGGUGUUGUGGUUAAUAACCGCAGCAAUUGACGUUACCCGCAGAAGAAGCACCGGCUAACUCCGUGCCAGCAGCCGCGGUAAUACGGAGGGUGCAAGCGUUAAUCGGAAUUACUGGGCGUAAAGCGCACGCAGGCGGUCUGUCAAGUCGGAUGUGAAAUCCCCGGGCUCAACCUGGGAACUGCAUUCGAAACUGGCAGGCUUGAGUCUUGUAGAGGGGGGUAGAAUUCCAGGUGUAGCGGUGAAAUGCGUAGAGAUCUGGAG
RNAcentral lists this ribosomal RNA (713 nucleotides) under Salmonella enterica subsp. enterica. Its description in RNAcentral is "bacterial SSU rRNA". It matches the Rfam family "Bacterial small subunit ribosomal RNA", at positions 1 to 703 of the family's 1533-position model. Lineage: Bacteria; Pseudomonadati; Pseudomonadota; Gammaproteobacteria; Enterobacterales; Enterobacteriaceae. The record is from RNAcentral.